UGGCAUAGUUUCCAACAUAUUAACUAAACCAAGCACAAGCAACUCAAAUACACAUAUAGCUCUUGUUAUUGUGAAGUAAAUUUGGCAUGGCAAGUCAGGAGGAUGAUCGUCUUCUUAACGCUGGGUUGGAAGGCUUUUCAACCUUGGACGAGCGGCAGAAAAGGAGGGCAGUAGCUGGGGGUGAGAGGGCACGUCGUCCUAAUGAUAAGAAUAAUAAUAAUCAGGGAAAUGAAUUAGCUCCUGCAAUCAAUAGCAAAGAGGCAGCUCGACUCUACGGUGGCGUAUUGAUAGAGCCAGUCAUCACUAGCGACAAGGCGGCCAUACGCUAUGGUGGCGUGGUCAUAGGGACUCCUAUCACUAGCAAUCAGGCUGCUCAGCGUUACGGCGGCAUUUUGAUUCCAGGUCGUCCUAAGAAUGGUUUAGUUUCUGGGGCUUAAUUAAUAGGCUACCUCCAUGCCUCUAGCUUCUAUAGCCUCAAGGAGUAUAUUAUACAUGUUAUGUUGGUGUGUCAUCUCAUCCCUAUGCCUAAAUAACCUUAAUUUUCUUCUACUUUUAUGCUAAGUCACAAGUUUGUAGUAUUAUGUAUUUAUGCACUAGUCCUGAACAGAAGCACUGAUAUCAGUAAAAGGAACACAAAAUUAUCAUAUGGUUUUGGCUUUUAAUAUUUAGAAUUUAUGGUUUUUUAGCUCUUCAACUUAGAAUUUUUAUUUGGUGUAAG
This 718-nucleotide unclassified non-coding RNA is filed under the name Hevea brasiliensis (rubber tree). The record is from RNAcentral. Lineage: Eukaryota; Viridiplantae; Streptophyta; Magnoliopsida; Malpighiales; Euphorbiaceae.